UAAGAGAGAUGCAAGGUGGUGGUGCGGUUGGUUUGAAAUCAAAGAUUGGGGGUUCGACUCCCUCCUCUCUUGC
This 73-nucleotide transfer RNA is filed under the name Diploderma vela. RNAcentral describes it as "tRNA-Ser". It matches the Rfam family "tRNA". From Rfam's summary of the family: Transfer RNA (tRNA) molecules are approximately 80 nucleotides in length. Their secondary structure includes four short double-helical elements and three loops (D, anti-codon, and T loops). Lineage: Eukaryota; Metazoa; Chordata; Lepidosauria; Squamata; Agamidae. The record is from RNAcentral.